Long non-coding RNA from Coccinella septempunctata (seven-spotted ladybird), 1452 nucleotides. RefSeq lists it as uncharacterized. The record is from RefSeq and is a predicted model, not a curated record. The transcript has 12 exons. Lineage: Eukaryota; Metazoa; Arthropoda; Insecta; Coleoptera; Coccinellidae.
GAAGCUAGUUCUUCCAGUGCUGCUAGUGGUUAUUCAGUAGUUAUUCAUUGAAAAAACGAGAAAGAAAUUCAAAAAACUUCUGACAAUUAUGACUACAAUGACAAUCGUAUAAAGAAGCCAUUAGAACAUUUAUUAGUAGACGUCUUUAAAAUCAAUGAACUGAGUAUUAGCUUCGUACAUUCAUUCAUAGGUGGCCGCACUGCCGCAACUGUAUUACCGAUUGCCUGCCUCGACUGAAUAAUUAAUCCUUUCGCCAUUUUGGCCCCCUUUAGGGUUUCAUUCCUUUGAAGAACGGUUUUUCAAGUGAUUAUCUUCCUUUUUACAAGCUUUUCGUACCGGAAAAAUUCGUGACUUUUGAAAUUUUUCGCGUUUUCCGUGUCGCAUAAUACUCAACAGUUAUUCCGACUCAUCGUUUAUAAAGAAGAACAAUUAAGCUGCCAUUACACAAUGCAGAUUUUCAACGAAAGGAAAGUACGUGAAAACUGGGACUGAAGUUGAAUCAAGGAAUUGUUUUCAAGUGAGUUUCAACAUGAAGUCGUGAAGGGAAUGACAUCAAAAAUGUAAAAUAGUGGAAACUGUUGUUCAUCACAUCCGGUAUGGAUUGCAACGAAAACAGAAUCGAGUUUUUCUUCAAUUGGAAACUGUUGUUCAUCACAUCCGGUAUGGAUUGCAACGAAAACAGAAUCGAGUUUUUCUUCAAUAAGACUGACAAGAAAGAAAAUAAAGAUGAUGACGAUCAGGAUCGAUGAGUGAUUCAGGUGAAGAAUUCGAAGAUGUUGGAAAAGUCAAUAGCGGAAACUGGUGAGAAGAAAAUGCAGAUGAUAAUCAGAAGGGUGACCACCAGGAAGGUGAAGAUGUAGAAAGAGUCCAUAGCGGUUUAGUUGAAAGUUUGCGUAAACUCUGUAAGUUCCUGGAUAAUAUAGACUGAAUCAAGUUGGAUGAAUGGAUUGAAGAUAGGCUACAAUGAAAUUUAAUGUCCACCCUCUGGCAUCAUCUGGAUGACUGGCAAGAAAGAAAAUGAAGAUGAUGACAAUCAGAAGGGUGAAGAAUUUGAAAAUUUGUUAUGAAUGGGUUCAUGACUACCAGGAAGGUGAAGAUGUAGAAUAAGUCGAUAGCCGUGAGUUAAAGAAGUUUGAAGUUUGCAUGAGAGCGUAAGUUUGUACAUGUGGAGUUUCUGGACUGAAUCAAUUUAAAUGAAUGGAUUGAGGAUCGGCCCAAAUGAAAUGUUUUGUCCACCUUUUGCAUGUGGCCAUAUGGAUAUAUAUUAUCCAGAAAUCCUCUGCAGAAGCAAACAACGGACAAAGCAGAAAUUCUUGAACAACCACCAACCAUCUGGAAAAAAAAAACUACAUCAAAUCCCCAGAAUUGAAACGAACCACAUAAAAUACCAUUGUAUUGUAUCUCACUAGGAAGCAAAACCCCAAAAAUAAAUAAAUAAAAUACAAAAAAACA